Molecule: long non-coding RNA, 564 nt
Organism: Symphalangus syndactylus (siamang)
Lineage: Eukaryota; Metazoa; Chordata; Mammalia; Primates; Hylobatidae
Source: RefSeq, a predicted model, not a curated record
UGCCUCCUGUCCAUUCAGUCUGACUCCAAUGUGGUUCUGCAGCAGUGGACAAAGAUGGGAGAUUGAAACAGGAGCCCCUGCGAUGGGGAAACAGAGCCAGGGAGCACGGGUUGGACAGUUUUUUUUAUAGGAUUGAUGACCAAAGAAGGCAGCUAUAAUGUUUUAUUCUCAAGAUGAUGGUUACUCAUCUUAGAAGAACAACAACAACAACAACAACAAAAACAUAACAGAUGAAUGGGAAGAGCCCCAUCAAAGCUUUAUUCUACUCCUCAACAACUCAGGAAUUAAGCCUAAAGCUGCAGAUGAAAUUUUGCCACCAUGAAGAAAAGAGGAAAUCAGAAUUGGAUUCUUUCUGAAGUUUUCCUUUACAAUAGCCAGUAUAUGCCCUUUCCUACUUGAGCAAGUAUAAACUGGGUUCCUGUGAUUUGCAACCAAGUGUCCUGACAAACACAAGGAUGAAAGACAACUGUGUCUCAAUAAAGAAAAAAUAGUUUAUUUUUAUGAGUGGUGGAUUUAAAAAACCUACAUUACUGUGAGAAGAGUACCUUAAAACAUUUAAGUCUA